CCCCUAGACGUUCUGGGCUGCACGCGCGCUACAAUAAUACGCACAGCGAGUAUCACCGAGCUCGAAAGGGCAAGGUAAACAAUAGAAAAGGUACUGUAAUGGUUAUAGAUCCUUGUAAUUAUUGAUCUUCAACGAGGAAUUCCUAGUAAGUAUGUGUCAUCAUCACGCACUGAUUACGUCCCUGCCCUUUGUACACACCGCCCGUCGUUCCUACCGAUUGGGUGAGCCGAUGAAACUCUCGGAUGUAGGCUAUUCAUAGCCCGCAGAAGAGAUUUGAAUCGUAGCGCUUAGAGGAAGGAGAAGUCGUAACA
This 311-nucleotide ribosomal RNA is filed under the name uncultured eukaryote. Its description in RNAcentral is "partial 18S ribosomal RNA". It matches the Rfam family "Eukaryotic small subunit ribosomal RNA", at positions 1470 to 1796 of the family's 1831-position model. The record is from RNAcentral.